UGCAGUCGAGCGGUAGAGAGAAGCUUGCUUCUCUUGAGAGCGGCGGACGGGUGAGUAAUGCCUAGGAAUCUGCCUGGUAGUGGGGGAUAACGUCCGGAAACGGACGCUAAUACCGCAUACGUCCUACGGGAGAAAGCAGGGGACCUUCGGGCCUUGCGCUAUCAGAUGAGCCUAGGUCGGAUUAGCUAGUUGGUGGGGUAAUGGCUCACCAAGGCGACGAUCCGUAACUGGUCUGAGAGGAUGAUCAGUCACACUGGAACUGAGACACGGUCCAGACUCCUACGGGAGGCAGCAGUGGGGAAUAUUGGACAAUGGGCGAAAGCCUGAUCCAGCCAUGCCGCGUGUGUGAAGAAGGUCUUCGGAUUGUAAAGCACUUUAAGUUGGGAGGAAGGGCAGUAAAUUAAUACUUUGCUGUUUUGACGUUACCGACAGAAUAAGCACCGGCUAACUCUGUGCCAGCAGCCGCGGUAAUACAGAGGGUGCAAGCGUUAAUCGGAAUUACUGGGCGUAAAGCGCGCGUAGGUGGUUCGUUAAGUUGGAUGUGAAAUCCCCGGGCUCAACCUGGGAACUGCAUUCAAAACUGACGAGCUAGAGUAUGGUAGAGGGUGGUGGAAUUUCCUGUGUAGCGGUGAAAUGCGUAGAUAUAGGAAGGAACACCAGUGGCGAAAGCGACCACCUGGACUGAUACUGACACUGAGUGCGAAAGCGUGGGGAGCAAACAGGAUUAGAUACCCUGGUAGUCCACGCCGUAACGAUGUCAACUAGCCCGUUGG
This 773-nucleotide ribosomal RNA is filed under the name uncultured bacterium. RNAcentral describes it as "bacterial SSU rRNA". It matches the Rfam family "Bacterial small subunit ribosomal RNA", at positions 56 to 827 of the family's 1533-position model. The record is from RNAcentral.